ACUGACAAGGUAAAGUGCCAGUUUGAGGAAAUUCUGUGUUGAAAACUGUCAUGCAGAUGUUCUCCCCUGUGGUGAUUUAAUGAGGUCAUCAUGUACUGGAUUUAAAACUGUUAAUAUUUCAAGCCUAGAUUGGAUACUAUUUAAUUUCGUUCGAUUUGAUUCGAUUUUGCUCUGUCCCGCCGUCAAGCCGAUGAAAUUAUGCAAAAAAAAAGCCUUUUUCUUCACCAGAAGUAGGCUAUGAUGUAUCUAUGAUGAAGAAAAGUGCAUAUCUGGGCUCCCUUUCCCUAACUAACCACCAACCAACGCCCGCGGUGGUCAUUCACCCGCUGUGAAACCAGGAGAAUGAGGAGGGCUCUGUUCGAAUGGGGACUUGGAAGACGCAUGAUCAACUUGUGGAGGGUUAUAAGUCUAAGCCGGAAGCUUACUAUGACUAAUCGCUCC
Molecule: long non-coding RNA, 441 nt
Organism: Daphnia pulicaria
Lineage: Eukaryota; Metazoa; Arthropoda; Branchiopoda; Diplostraca; Daphniidae
Exons: 3
Source: RefSeq, a predicted model, not a curated record